Molecule: transfer RNA, 69 nt
Filed under: Leptobrachium hasseltii (Java spadefoot toad)
Lineage: Eukaryota; Metazoa; Chordata; Amphibia; Anura; Megophryidae
Description: tRNA-Val
Source: RNAcentral
ACAGACUGUAGCUUAAAUAAAGCCCUUCGCUUACACCGAAACAAUGCCUAAUAAACCUGGGCCGCUCUG